RNAcentral lists this long non-coding RNA (744 nucleotides) under Canis lupus familiaris (dog). RNAcentral's name for it is "lncRNA (ENSCAFG00000058190.1)". Lineage: Eukaryota; Metazoa; Chordata; Mammalia; Carnivora; Canidae. The record is from RNAcentral.
GGGACAGCUAGAGAAACAAGAGGACCAGUCCCCAACCCAGCAUCUUGGGUGUGUGUGGGGGGGCUGCACUAGGAAGAGGUGUUCUAACAUUGGGCUUUGCAGACCCAUGGGGCUUAACUUCAGAGUUUCUACAAGCAGCAGGGCAUAAUUUCAGGUACUUAAAAAAUCUGCAGGCUUAAAACUGGGUGGUGUAAGCCCCCACAACCUCCCACGUUUCAGACCUAUGGUUCUUAGCUCCCCCUUACCAGAGUCACAUAGCCCUUAGCUACUGUUAAAACUGGAAAAUUGCCUCAGGAAAUAAAGUUGCCUUCGGAAGAGUCUGUGGGAUGCCAUUCUACCGGAGAUCCACAUAAUGUGCCAUGUCUGUGAGGGGGGAAAAACAAUUUGCAGCUUAGCAGUAGUCACAGAACUAGAACUUCCAUCUGUGCUCUAGAGAUGACAUCACUAAUGUAACCUGCUGAGAACGUUUUGCAGUGCCAGGGCCCUGAGACCAAACAAUCACCUCUCUACAGUCACACCAAAGCCCAGAUGUUACCAGAAGGGACAAGAUGAUCAAGAAAAGAAGUAUUACAGGAGGAAUAGACAGGAGACAGAGAUGGAGGAAUGUUAGUCCAAACUCUGAAUUUGCCCCUGGCUCUCCUGGACUUAAACUGCCCACUUCAGGUUUCCCCCACAGAUUGACCCGCGGGGAAUAAACUGCCUUUUCAUGAACACAGGUGCAACAUAUUCCAUAUGAAAGCUAAU